AUAGAUCGAGAUCACUCACCAAGGAGCAGUAAUUGCAGGGAAUCAAUGUAGCGGGUCUUUUCAUGCAAAGGCUGCAGUGGGUUUGACGGCACUCAGGGGCCAAAACAGCCGCAAAUGGCUCUUCACAAAUUAGAACUUCACCUGAAUUACAAAGUAGGGUUCCUGAUGGAGAAGCUGUUGUACUUUGUUGACCAUUUCUUCAAGUGGAGCAGCAAGUUCUUUUUUCUGCACUCGAUGACGCGGCAGUUGAAGUCGGCAGUAGCAGCCUUGUUCAUUUCGGCCAGCGAAUGUGAAAUCACAAACACUGCGUUCGGAGGCGUGUGAAGUGCAAAGGGCCGCAGAGCAGACUAGAGCACUGGAGCUGGACAAUCCUGAACUGGGAGGGAUAUUCCCGAAAACAACCACUCGAAGGCCUUUUAACUUCUGGGGCAGGACGUUCUCCAAAACGCCCUUGACCCCACACAUGAAAUACUGGUGCCACUGAGGAGCUCCCAACACCUCUAUCCUUUAAUUAUUUCAAAAAAAUUAAAAUAAAUACACAAUA
This is a long non-coding RNA of Neocloeon triangulifer, 544 nucleotides long. RefSeq lists it as uncharacterized. The record is from RefSeq and is a predicted model, not a curated record. NCBI's taxonomy places the organism in Eukaryota, Metazoa, Arthropoda, Insecta, Ephemeroptera, Baetidae. The transcript has 4 exons.